AUUGAACGCUGGCGGCAUGCCUUACACAUGCAAGUCGAACGGUAACAGGUCUUCGGACGCUGACGAGUGGCGAACGGGUGAGUAAUACAUCGGAACGUGCCUAGUAGUGGGGGAUAACUACUCGAAAGAGUGGCUAAUACCGCAUGAGAUCUACGGAUGAAAGCAGGGGAUCGCAAGACCUUGUGCUACUAGAGCGGCCGAUGGCAGAUUAGGUAGUUGGUGGGAUAAAAGCUUACCAAGCCGACGAUCUGUAGCUGGUCUGAGAGGACGAUCAGCCACACUGGGACUGAGGCACGGCCCAGACUCCUACGGGAGGCAGCAGUGGGGAAUUUUGGACAAUGGGCGAAAGCCUGAUCCAGCAAUGCCGCGUGCAGGAUGAAGGCCUUCGGGUUGUAAACUGCUUUUGUACGGAACGAAAAGCCCCGGGUUAAUACCCUGGGGUCAUGACGGUACCGUAAGAAUAAGCACCGGCUAACUACGUGCCAGCCGCCGCAGUAA
This 498-nucleotide ribosomal RNA is filed under the name uncultured bacterium. Its description in RNAcentral is "partial 16S ribosomal RNA". It matches the Rfam family "Bacterial small subunit ribosomal RNA", at positions 30 to 523 of the family's 1533-position model. The record is from RNAcentral.